Molecule: long non-coding RNA, 1443 nt
Filed under: Homo sapiens (human)
Lineage: Eukaryota; Metazoa; Chordata; Mammalia; Primates; Hominidae
Description: non-protein coding lnc-SMYD1-2:5
Source: RNAcentral
GUGGCCACCAAGGGGCCGGGCCCUGCACAGCGCCCUGGGGAAGCUGGUUUGAAAGCUCUGGAGCGACCCCAAUGCCGGAUGAGAAAGCUGAGACUCAGAGAAAUUAAGAAACUCAUAUGAGGUCAUGUUGUAGGUAAGUUAGUUUUUGCUGCAUCAUAAACCACCCAACUAUUUAUGAUUUCAAACAGGUAAUACUUGUUUCUCAACAACUGGUUGGGGGCUGGAUGGCCAAGGGGCCUCAUAUUUUAGGGACAGGAGGAGCUCAUCGUCAGCUGGGUGAUGGGGAUGCGACUGCAAGUCUCAUCCAGGAGAGCUUGAACAUAGGGGUUGAGUUGCAAAAGCAGCAUAAGGGCAGCAACACAAGAACUUUCCAUGUCUCACUUAUGUCAUAUUUGCUAUUCUCCCAUUGGCCAAAGCAGGUCACAAAGGCAUGGCCAGCCGGUAUGGAAGGGGACAACCAAAGGGGUGGACACAGGGAGUGAGAAUUGCUGCUAUUUUCCCCAACAAAGAAUCUACCAUCCAUAGCUUCUAAGUGUACAACUGGAAAUCAAAACUAAGUUUGUCUUACUUGAAAGUUCAAAACUGUCUUACAGCUACUGCCUGGGGUCUAGGAAUCCAGAACAUUCCACACAUUGCCUAAGUCAACAACCUGUUGCACACACACACCUGCAACUGUUUUGCAAAAAUAUUUACGUAAUUUCGAAGCAGCUCUUCACAAAAUAUUCAUCAGUUACAGAAGGAAGUCACUUCACAGUGGAAAAAUCUGGCAGGUGCCACCUUAAUCAAGUAACCAAAAUGAACAUCAUCAGUAAUAGGACAAAUUGCAAUCGUGUGCCUCCUGAUAGUCUAGCAAGAAGAACACAGCAUCACUUCUAUGAUGCUCCUGCCAAUAAUAUAUAAUUGGAAUCUAAUCCUAAAGCAACAAAUUCAAAUUAAGGAAAAUUCUACAAAAUAAUUGGCCUGUAAUAGAAGUGUUAAAGGUCAUGAAAGUUAAGGAAAGACUGAAGAACUGUUCCAGACUGAAGAUGAAAGAGAUGUGAGAAAUAAGUGCAGUGGUGAUUCUGAACUGGAUCCUGACUUGGCAAAACUUGAAUAGGUCUGUUGGUUGGAUGGUAGAAAUAUAGUAAUGUUGAUUUCCUGAUUUUUGCUAGCUAUAUUACAAUUUUAUUGGAUUCAGUCCUUGUUUACAGAAGACACACAGUAUGUAGGGGUUAUAAGAAGUCAGCUCAGGAACUUUCAAAUCAUUUAGCAAAACAAAAGUUCUUCGUACUUUAAUUCCAAGACUUCUAUAAAUUUGAGAUUAUUUUUAAAAUACUUAAAAAAAACUCCUUUAAAGUCUCUCAACAUGCUGUCCUAUUAAUAAUAGAUUUCUAAAUUUUUUAUUUUUAUCAACGUUUUGUGUGCCCAUAGUUUGAAGUAUUAAAUUGUUUUUAUUUAUUAAGG